UCCCUGGUGGCUCAGACGGUAAAGCAUCUGUCUACAAUGCAGGAGACCCGGGUUUCAUCCCUGGAUGGGGAA
Non-coding RNA from Bos taurus (domestic cattle), 72 nucleotides. Lineage: Eukaryota; Metazoa; Chordata; Mammalia; Artiodactyla; Bovidae. The record is from Rfam.